Molecule: microRNA precursor, 208 nt
Filed under: Oryza brachyantha (malo sina)
Lineage: Eukaryota; Viridiplantae; Streptophyta; Magnoliopsida; Poales; Poaceae
Description: MIR812 microRNA precursor family
Rfam family: MIR812 microRNA precursor family
Source: Rfam by way of RNAcentral
AAUAAGAUAAUUUUUUAGUUUUUUGAUACAAUGUUUUGACUCUUUAUCUAAUUUGAAUUUUUUUUGCGAUUAAUAUUUUUAUUCUUACUAGAUGAUAAAAUAUAAAUAAUACUUUAUGCGUAACUAAAUUUUUAAAUUUUUUGUAUAAAUUUUUCAAAUAAGACGAAUGGUCAAACGUUGGACACGGAAAACGAAAAAUGAGGUUAUU